UACGUAGGGUGCAGGCGUUAAUCGGAAUUACUGGGCGUAAAGCGUGCGCAGGCGGCUUCCUAAGUCAGAUGUGAAAUCCCCGGGCUUAACCUGGGAACUGCGUUUGAAACUGGGGGGCUAGAGUUUGGCAGAGGGGGGUGGAACUCCUGGUGUAGCAGUGAAAUGCGUAGAGAUCAGGAAGAACACCGAUGGCGAAGGCAGCCCCCUGGGCUGGAACUGACGCUCAGGCACGAAAGCGUGGGGAGCAAACAGG
RNAcentral lists this ribosomal RNA (253 nucleotides) under uncultured bacterium. RNAcentral describes it as "partial 16S ribosomal RNA". It matches the Rfam family "Bacterial small subunit ribosomal RNA", at positions 524 to 776 of the family's 1533-position model. The record is from RNAcentral.